This is a non-coding RNA of Chiloscyllium plagiosum (whitespotted bambooshark), 4581 nucleotides long. The record is from RefSeq and is a predicted model, not a curated record. NCBI's taxonomy places the organism in Eukaryota, Metazoa, Chordata, Chondrichthyes, Orectolobiformes, Hemiscylliidae.
GCCCUGACGCGAUGGCGACGCCGCCGGUGCCGGUGUCGGUGUCGGUGUCGGUGCCCGUGCCCGAGGCGGCCGGCCCGCCCGCGGAGCCGCUGUCCGAUGUGAGGAAGGCGGGUUACCUGAGGAAACCCAAGAGCAUGCACCGGCGCUUCUUCGUGCUGAGGGCGGCCAGCGAGCUGGGCCCGGCCCGCCUCGAGUACUACGAGAACGAGAAGAAAUGGAGGCAGAAGGCGGGCGCGCCGAAACGCUCCGUGCAGCUGGAGAGCUGCUUCAACAUCAACAAGAGGGCGGACUCCAAGAACAAGUACCUGGUCGCCCUGUACACCCGGGACGAGUACUUCGCGGUGGCCGCCGACUGUGAGGGUGACCAGGAGAGCUGGUACCGGGCCCUGCUGGAGCUCCAUAACCGGGCCAAGGUCCCUGAGGAGCGGGCUGACAGGGACACCGCCGGGGCCCCGGUAUCUCCUGAGGACGGUACCGGGGAAGCGAGCCCAGGGCCCGCCUUUAAGGAGGUCUGGCAGGUGGUGCUGAAGCCCAAAGGUCUGGGUCACAGUAAGAACCUGGUGGGUAUAUACCGGCUGUGCCUGACCAACAAGACCAUCAGCCUGGUCAAACUCAACUCGGAGGCAGCCGCCGUGGUGCUGCAGCUGAUGAACAUCAGGCGGUGCGGGCACUCGGAGAAUUUCUUCUUCAUUGAGGUGGGCAGGUCGGCGGUGACCGGGCCCGGAGAGUUCUGGAUGCAGGUCGAUGACUCGGUGGUGGCCCAGAACAUGCACGAGACCAUCCUGGAGGCCAUGAAGGCCAUGAGCGAGGAGUUCCGGCCGCGCAGCAAGAGCCAGUCGGCGUCCAGCUCCAACCCCAUCUCGGUGCCCCUCCGGCGGCACCUCAAUAACCCACCGCCCAGCCAGGUGGGCCUGAGCCGCCGCUCCCGGACCGAGAGCGUCACCGCCUCCGCCACCUCGCCGGCCGGCAAGCACAGCUCGUUCCGGGUGCGAGCCUCCAGCGACGGCGAGGGCACCAUGUCCAGGCCGGCGUCAGUGGACGGCAGCCCGGUCAGCCCGAGCACCGGGCGGACGCACUCUCACCGACACCGGGGUGGCUGCAGGCUGCACCCCCCUCUCAACCACAGCAGGUCCAUCCCCAUGCCGUCCGCCCACUGCUCCCCUUCGGCCACCAGCCCCGUCAGCUUGUCCUCCAGCAGCACCAGUGGCCACGGGUCCACCUCGGACAGCCUCUUCCCGAGACGAUCCAGUGCCUCCAUCUCGGGCUCGCCCAGCGAUGGGGGCUUCAUUUCCUCCGAUGAGUAUGGAUCCAGCCCAUGUGAUUUCAGGAAUUCCUUCAGGAGUGUCACCCCCGAUUCCUUGGGGCACACUCCUCCUGCAAGGGAGGAGCAGGAGUUAAACAACUACAUUUACAUGGGGAAACAUUCGAGCCUUGGUCCAAGUUGCCAAAACAGGGGUGGUCAAAGGUGGACUCCAACAAAAGCUGAGGAUGCAGACUCCGACAAAGGGUUUAGGAAGCGGGCACAUUCAUCAGGUACUUCACCACCUACAGUGAUGCACCAAAAGACCUCUUCUCAAACUUCCACCACCUCCUUUGCGGAGUACACAGAGAUGACACCAUCUUACCCCGGUGGUCGUUUGUCAUCCAGUAAAAAUUCAGCUUUUGUGCCUACUCACUCGUACCCCGAGGAAUGUUUGGAUCUCCAGUUAGGAGAAGGUAGACGUUACAGCCAAAUGGAUGAUGGUUAUAUGCCAAUGUCACCUGGAGUAGCACCUGUACCCAAUAAAAAUGACUACAUGCCAAUGAGCCCAAAAAGUGUUUCUGCCCCACAGCAAAUCAUCAAUCCACGUCAACAUUCUCGUAAAGAUGGUUACAUGAUGAUGUCACCGAGUGGCAGUUGCUCACCAGAAAAUGUGAACUAUGGGAAAAUAUGGACUAAUGGGGGCAAUUCUAAGCUUUCUGUUGAGAGUAACGAUGGGAAAUUAUCAUGCAGUGAUUACAUAAAUAUGUCUCCUGCAAGUUGCUCAACAACAAGCACUCCACCAGACUGCUUCUUCAAUCCAGUUGAAGAACCUCAUAAACCUGUCUGUUCUUACUUCUCACUGCCUCGUUCCUUUAAACAUGUACAUAGAAAGAAUGAUGAGUCCCCUUUACGGAUUGCUGUAAAUUCAGGCCGUCUUUUGUAUUGCGAGGAUUCUUCCUCAUCUACGAGCAGCGACAGUUUAGGAGGUCAAGAUGGUGGACAUCACACAGUUAGCUCUACUAAAAAGGAAUUGUAUGUACCGAUGAAAGGUAAACUUGUACGACCCACUAGACUGUCACUUGAUAACACUAAGGCAAGUACAUUGCCCAGAACACGUGAGCAUCCCCUUCCUCCAGAGCCAAAAAGCCCAGGCGAGUAUGUAAAUAUUGAAUUUAGUGACAAAACCUUUUCUUCUAGUUCAUUGUCACUUGUUGAGCCCUCUUCAGUUGGAGGCAUGCAUUCUGUUCGACAAAGACCACCUGUGUCUGAAUACAUGAAUAUGAAUUCAAGAAUGGACUCAUCCAAGUUUGGUUAUGUAUCAAAACCCACAGUGGAUAUCACCAACUCUGCAACUGCCUGCACAACCAGCACUUGCAGAAAAGAUAGAGGGCAGGCAAGCUGUGAUUAUGUUAGUAUGCAGCUAGUUAACACCUGUACAGACUUGCUGGAAUCAGCAGUGAGUAACUAUAAAGAGAUGACAGUUGGUGGAGGGAUAACAUCUUCCAUUUCCGUUCUACCUCGGGGAGAAGAGAGCUCAUUGACCACUGUUUCUGAUGUCGUGGCUGGUCCUACGAUGGAUCAGAUUUCCGGGAGGAGUGCCUUCACUGUGCUUAAUCUUGUCCCUAAUCGAAACCAAGGUGCCAAAGUUAUCCGUGUUGAUCCCCAAGGAAGAAGACGACACAGUUCGGAGACUUUUACUUCCACAGCCAAUGUGACUGGCAUGACCCUAUCUUAUGUUGAUCACGUUAAACGCCAUAGUUCAGUGUCCUUUGAAAAUGUGUGGCUUAACAAACCAGGUGAUUCCCUUGUUGCAGGUGCCAAAGAGCAACCAAAUGAUGCCACAGUGCAGAAUGAUUGUGAAAAUGUUAUGAAUUACAUUGAUUUGGACUUGGUAAACGAUUUUAAAAACAAAGGUUGGACCUCCUCUCAGCAUGUAACCCCUCAUCAACCUCAUGGAAAUACCUCUGGUGGUGGUGAUGAUCUGAAUUCAUAUGCAAGCAUCACUUUCCAGAAACCUGAUGAAAUUGUGAAGCCAACAGAAAGGGAAGGUUCCUUAGACUUGCCCCAAUAUGUCGGCACGUGAUCACAGCACCCAAUUUGGAAUGACAUCUUCUUAACCCUCAGCAAGCCUUUCAUGGACUUGAUGAGCACUUAGAGUUUCAAUAAUUUGUACAGUACAACCAGGACCUCACAUUCUUUCACAUAAAGAAUGGUACAACAAAUCACAAUCACUCCAACUUGCUGCAAGAAACCUCAGGACAUUAGUUUUCUGACUGGAUUGCAUGUUCGCCCAUGUAUAUGUCUGUGGAGCACACAGUGUGUGCACACAUGUGCUACAGCGAAUCUGCCUCUGUUCCUUCAUCAGCACACUCUACUUCAACAAUCUCUAUAAGCAAAUGGGAAAGACUGCCAUCAAUGCAAUUCAGAUGCCUAACCUGGACUGGAAUACACAAACAUUUAACCUGGACUUUCACGUGCUGCUGAAACAUUUAAGCACAUGACUGAUGCAGUUCAAAGCAGCAACUCACCAUCACCCUCUCAAGGAUAACUGGAGUGGAACUGAAUGAUGGCCCAUGUCCCACCAGAGAAUAAAAACAAGGUGCUGUUUGAUAGCACUGCUAAUGGCACUUUCCAACACUUCACUGAUGAUACCGGAGAUUGUACUCGAUGUCCUUAAGAAAACGCCAAGGACACUGCUUUAUUAUCUACUGUCUUCACCUGUCCUUCUUCAAUGAUUUGUGCACAUAUGCACCCACUGUAAAAUUGUAACCCCUAUUAUAUAUUGUAUUUCACUGCUCUUCUGACCAAACGGCAUCAUCUCACACCGCUCUGUAUUGAAUAGAUACAUUUGAAAUCUAGUCUUAAUCUUAUGCCAAUGCUAUAUGCGGAAAUUUAAUUUUUCAAACCAAUUAUUCAUUCGCAAGGAACUUCAGCCUUGACUGGCUUUGAAGCAAUAAUUACUUUUUCACGUCUUGCAAUUCCAAAUUUGUUAUCUGCAUAACAAAAUAAAAACUGAUAAGCUCUGAAAAUGUCGCAUUGUCUCCAAACAUAAUUGUAAAAACUCAGGCUUUUAUCUUACUCAUUUCUUUAAAUUGAGACACAAAUUAUUGCAGUGUGUCCUCUUGCACAGUUACGAUUGUACAAAAACUUGAUGCAAAAUAAUUUGUAUCAAGUUUAUAACACUGGCUCCGUUUAAAAAUUAAGCAUUUGGAAUUGAAUGCCAACUUUAUACAUGGAAAUACUGAAAAAAAGUUCUCAAAAGCCAUUUCCAUUUGUCUUACAGCAUUGUAUUUUGAAGUUGUUAUUUAAGUCAGUUGGAGAAUAAUGAGUGCCUUUGU